AUUGAACGCUGGCGGCAGGCCUAACACAUGCAAGUCGAGCGAGCGGCGGACGGGUGAGUAAUGUCUGGGAAACUGCCGGAUGGAGGGGGAUAACAACUGGAAAAGGUAGCUAAUACCGCAUACCAUCAGAUGUGCCCAGGUGGGAUUAGCUGGUAGGUGGGGUAACGGCGCACCUGGGCGACGAGCCCUAGCUGGUCUGAGAGGAUGACCAGCCACAUUGGAACUGAGACACGGUCCAGACUCCUACGGGAGGCAGCAGGGGGGAAUAUUGCACAAUGGGCGAAAGCCUGAUGCAGCCAUGCCGCUGGUGUGAAGAAGGCCUUCGGGUGGUAAAGCACUUUCAGCGGGGAGGCGGUACCCGCAGAAGAAGCACCGGCUAACUCCGUGCCAGCAGCCGCGGUAAUUC
Molecule: ribosomal RNA, 406 nt
Filed under: uncultured bacterium
Lineage: Bacteria
Description: partial 16S ribosomal RNA
Rfam family: Bacterial small subunit ribosomal RNA
Source: RNAcentral